This 171-nucleotide non-coding RNA is filed under the name chicken gut metagenome. Its description in RNAcentral is "Lysine riboswitch". It matches the Rfam family "Lysine riboswitch aptamer". From Rfam's summary of the family: Riboswitches are metabolite binding domains within certain messenger RNAs that serve as precision sensors for their corresponding targets. Allosteric rearrangement of mRNA structure is mediated by ligand binding, and this results in modulation of gene expression. The record is from RNAcentral.
AAGGAUAGAGGUGCGGUUUGUAUGAGUACCGCCGGUCCGGCCGCCACAGGCCGAUGGGCCGCGCGGAAAAGGACACACCGCCGAAGAUCCCGCCUUGUGGCGCGCGGGAAUCUGGUUGCUCCGGCGAAAGCCCUGCAACUGUCAUCUGUUUUAUGAUGGAGUGCUAUCGGU